AUGGCGGAAAUGGUGUGUCUGAUUGCGAGCAGAGGCAAAUUGGGUCUGAAUUUAUACAUCAAGGAUGAACCCUCCACCAGAGCUCAAGAACCCAAUAUUGCUAGCUUAUACUCACCGCCUAUGGCCUUGUAUGUGGAGGUCGUAAGUGCUCAUGUCCUCAAGCCCAUGGACAGGCAAGGCUCUGCAAGUACUUUUGUUGAGGUCACCUUUGAUUAUGUCCGGUUCCGCACGGCUAUCAAGGUCAGGGAUCGUUACCCGGUGUGGAACGAGUGGUUCUACUUCAAUGUAUGGGGCCCAUCUUCUCUUUGUAAUCUUGAUAUUAAAGCAUUCGUCUACCAUGUCCACAGUUCGUCCAAACGUUCCAAUACCUUACUUGGCAAGGUCAAAAUUUCUGGGACCAAAUGCAGGCAUCUCCACGGAGACAAGGUAACUUAUCCAUUAGAGAAGCCUACAGUGUUGUCGUACGUGCAAGGGGAUUUGAGUCUAAAAGUAUACACCAUUGAUAACCCUUCCAUGGGAAUUACAACCCCUGCUCCGCUCAUGGAUGGUGUAAUAUUGCACAACCAGAGUUCAAGACCACAUCAUUUUGCAUUACAAUAUUUGAAAAAAAUCACAAAUAACUUCUCCGAAGAGAGAUUAAUUGGCCAAGGUGGUUCUGGUGUGGUAUAUAAGGGUGUGGUUCAAAAUGGAGAUAUUAUUGCUGUGAAGAAGAUCUUGCCGUCAUUCAUGCCAGGCGAGCAGAAGCAAUUUGAGAACGAGAUCAGUCAUCUCACGAUGCUUGACCACUCCAAUAUAGUGCGGGUUGUAGGCUACUGCUAUGAAGUAAAGAAAGAACUUAUAGAAUACGAUGGGAGAAAUGUUUUUGCAGACAUGGAGGAAAAGUUAGUUUGCUUCGAGUAUCUACCCAAUGGAAGUCUUGAUAACUAUAUAUCAGAUGAAUCGACUGGACUUGAUUGGAGCACACGUUAUAAUAUUAUCGAGGGGAUCUGCAAGGGUUUAAUUUACCUUCACGUGCAAAAUGAUAAGCCUAUUAUUCACUUUGACCUUAAACCUGCAAACAUAUUGCUCGGCAAAGGUAUGAUACCAAAAAUUGCAGACUUCGGUCUGUCAAGACUGCAUGAUCAACAACAGUCAAUUUACACAACAUCCCGUCUUGGAACACGUGGUUACAUGGCACGGGAGUUCGUGGAUGAAGGAAAAAUUACACUACAGUUAGACAUAUUCAGUUUGGGUGUAAUAAUUUUGGAGGUAGUAAUAGGACAUAGGCACUACCCGGACGUUAUUACAGAAACAUCUUCGGAUGAUUUUAUCAAGCUUGCGCUUGAGAAAUGGAGAAGUGUACAAAGGUCACCGGGGAAUGAAUCCGAAAAACCAGACUACGAAGAAAUAAAGAGAUGCCUACAGGUCGGUCUGUUGUGUGUAAAUCAUGACCACGCCAAGAGACCACCGAUAACGAAGGUUAUGAAUAUGCUCCAAGGAUCAGAAAUUAUUGACUCCAACAUCAGCAAUGGGGAAGCAGCGUAA
Molecule: ribosomal RNA, 1524 nt
Filed under: Triticum aestivum (bread wheat)
Lineage: Eukaryota; Viridiplantae; Streptophyta; Magnoliopsida; Poales; Poaceae
Description: partial small subunit ribosomal RNA
Source: RNAcentral